Molecule: ribosomal RNA, 253 nt
Filed under: uncultured bacterium
Lineage: Bacteria
Description: partial 16S ribosomal RNA
Rfam family: Bacterial small subunit ribosomal RNA
Source: RNAcentral
UACGUAGGGCGCAAGCGUUGUCCGGAAUUAUUGGGCGUAAAGAGCUCGUAGGCGGCUUGUCACGUCGGGUGUGAAAGCCCGGGGCUUAACCCCGGGUCUGCAUUCGAUACGGGCUAGCUAGAGUGUGGUAGGGGAGAUCGGAAUUCCUGGUGUAGCGGUGAAAUGCGCAGAUAUCGGGAGGAACACCAGUGGCGAAGGCGACUACCUGGCCUGUUCUUGACGCUGAGGCGCGAAAGCUAGGGGAGCAAACGGG